UAGAUUAUGGUGUAGUGUGGU
This 21-nucleotide transfer RNA is filed under the name Tursiops aduncus (Indo-pacific bottlenose dolphin). Its description in RNAcentral is "tRNA-Gln". The record is from RNAcentral. Lineage: Eukaryota; Metazoa; Chordata; Mammalia; Artiodactyla; Delphinidae.